AUUUAAAUAGUUUAUUCAAAACGCUGGUCUGUGGAUCCAGAGAUAUAACCUAUAGUUAUUUUAGAUC
This 67-nucleotide transfer RNA is filed under the name Neogonodactylus oerstedii. Its description in RNAcentral is "tRNA-His". It matches the Rfam family "tRNA". From Rfam's summary of the family: Transfer RNA (tRNA) molecules are approximately 80 nucleotides in length. The record is from RNAcentral. Lineage: Eukaryota; Metazoa; Arthropoda; Malacostraca; Stomatopoda; Gonodactylidae.